UACGUAGGGCGCAAGCGUUGUCCGGAAUUAUUGGGCGUAAAGAGCUCGUAGGCGGCUUGUCACGUCGGGUGUGAAAGCCCGGGGCUUAACCCCGGGUCUGCAUUCGAUACGGGCAGGCUAGAGUGUGGUAGGGGAGGAUCGGAAUUCCUGGUGUAGCGGUGAAAUGCGCAGAUAUCAGGAGGAACACCGGGUGGCGAAGGCGG
This 203-nucleotide ribosomal RNA is filed under the name uncultured bacterium. RNAcentral describes it as "partial 16S ribosomal RNA". It matches the Rfam family "Bacterial small subunit ribosomal RNA", at positions 524 to 724 of the family's 1533-position model. The record is from RNAcentral.